RNAcentral lists this ribosomal RNA (254 nucleotides) under uncultured bacterium. RNAcentral's name for it is "partial 16S ribosomal RNA". It matches the Rfam family "Bacterial small subunit ribosomal RNA", at positions 524 to 776 of the family's 1533-position model. The record is from RNAcentral.
UACGUAGGGAGCGAGCGUUGUCCGGAUUUAUUGGGCGUAAAGAGCGCGUAGGCGGCUUGGUAAGCCGGAUGUGAAACCCCCGAGCUCAACUCGGGGCGGCCAUUCGGAACUGCCAUGGCUAGAGUCUGGUAGGGGAACACGGAAUACCUGGUGUAGCGGUGAAAUGCUUAGAUAUCAGGUGGAACACCAGUGGCGAAGGCGGUGUUCUGGGCCAGUACUGACGCUGAGGAGCGAAAGCGUGGGGAGCAAACAGG